RNAcentral lists this transfer RNA (87 nucleotides) under Mitsuokella sp. RNAcentral describes it as "tRNA-Leu". It matches the Rfam family "tRNA". From Rfam's summary of the family: Transfer RNA (tRNA) molecules are approximately 80 nucleotides in length. Their secondary structure includes four short double-helical elements and three loops (D, anti-codon, and T loops). Lineage: Bacteria; Bacillati; Bacillota; Negativicutes; Selenomonadales; Selenomonadaceae. RNAcentral also lists the same sequence under 3 other names. The record is from RNAcentral.
GCGGAUGUGGCGGAAUCGGCAGACGCGCUAGUUUCAGGUACUAGUGGUGGUGACAUCGUGGAGGUUCAAGUCCUCUCAUCCGCACCA